CGACGACUUACAAGUGCGGCGCGGGCUUUGAUAACGCACAGAUACAAAAGGCAGAACGCAUCGACAACUUGCUGGAUAGCAUCAACUGAAGCUGAAUGGCAUCUUGGCUAAUUUUCUUCGUACCUGUCCUGGCGGCAACGCUUACAAGUCUCGAAAGAACAGAGGGUCUCCACCUGGGCGCCCGUCGUAGUAAUUCAUGGCUAGGGAGACUGUAUUCCGGAACAGAGGAUCCCAGCUGUUCGUACACUAAAUGCGACCCGCUGCAUGAUGUUGAAGGAGCCUUGUGUCCCGUUUGGUGCGUGUGUGAGGAAGCGUCAAUCGGAUAUGGUGUCUGCAUUGAUCCUCUCUGAAAAUGUCUGAACAAGCAAGCUAAUAAAGAAAUGUUCCAAAUAAUA
Molecule: long non-coding RNA, 395 nt
Organism: Ornithodoros turicata
Lineage: Eukaryota; Metazoa; Arthropoda; Arachnida; Ixodida; Argasidae
Exons: 3
Source: RefSeq, a predicted model, not a curated record